RNAcentral lists this ribosomal RNA (254 nucleotides) under uncultured bacterium. Its description in RNAcentral is "partial 16S ribosomal RNA". It matches the Rfam family "Bacterial small subunit ribosomal RNA", at positions 524 to 776 of the family's 1533-position model. The record is from RNAcentral.
UACGGAGGGUGCGAGCGUUGUCCGGAAUCAUUGGGCGUAAAGGGCGCGUAGGUGGCGGGACAAGCGUGCGGUGAAAGCUCGGGGCUCAACUCCGAGUCGGCCGUGCGAACUGGGCUCACUGGAGCAUAGUAGAGGCAGGUGGAAUUCCGGGUGUAGCGGUGGAAUGCGUAGAGAUCCGGAAGAACACCGGUGGCGAAGGCGGCCUGCUGGGCUAUGGCUGACACUGAGGCGCGACAGCGUGGGGAGCAAACAGG